Molecule: ribosomal RNA, 263 nt
Filed under: uncultured bacterium
Lineage: Bacteria
Description: partial 16S ribosomal RNA
Rfam family: Bacterial small subunit ribosomal RNA
Source: RNAcentral
UACGUAGGAAGCGAGCGUUAUCCGAAUUUACUGGGCGUAAAGUGGGCGUAGGCGGCCUUUCAAGUUGGAUGUGAAAUCUCCCGGCUUAACUGGGAGGGGUCAUCCAAUACUGCUAGGCUAGAGGACGGCAGGGGAAAGUGGAAUUCCCGGUGUAGUGGUGAAAUGCGUAGAUAUCGGGAGGAACACCAGUGGCGAAGGCGGCUUUCUGGGCUGUUUCUGACGCUGAGGCCCUAAAGUGUGGGUAGCGAACAGGAUUAGAUACC